GUUCUUUCUCUCAGUCUUCCAGUCUCCCAUUUAGCUAUUCCUUUCUAAUGAUGAGAUCUAGUGUUCCCACAGAGCAAGGCAAAGCUGUAUUUGGAUGAUGAUGUGUGUCAACAGAAGAUCGUAGUGGAUUCUUGUUACAGGAUGGAUAAGUAUAAGCUGUAUCACAGUAGGGAUGGGAGACAAGCAAUACGGCCAGAAGAUACUCCAAAUAAGGGAGAAG
This is a non-coding RNA of Pelobates cultripes (western spadefoot toad), 220 nucleotides long. Lineage: Eukaryota; Metazoa; Chordata; Amphibia; Anura; Pelobatidae. The record is from the annotation of a GenBank genome assembly.